Molecule: long non-coding RNA, 2915 nt
Organism: Kogia breviceps (pygmy sperm whale)
Lineage: Eukaryota; Metazoa; Chordata; Mammalia; Artiodactyla; Physeteridae
Source: RefSeq, a predicted model, not a curated record
UAUAAGCUAAUUCCUUUAUUGCUUCAAAUUUUUUAAAAAUAGUGUUAAUUUGCAUUAAACAAAGCAACUUUCAUAUACUAAACAAAAAUGUCACAACCGACAGUCCAAAUAAUGGCCUCAUUUCCUAGUGGCUCAGAAAGACAGGAAAUAAUCCCAAGGACCCUAGUUCAGACAGACUAGAGAGAGUAGACUGUGGCUAUCUUACAUAAAGGCUAUGUCACAGUUCAAUGGGAUCCUAUACUUUGGUAGCUUCCCCCCACGAGUCCCCUAUGUGACUAAGGACUAGGAUAAGAGUGACAGCUUCACAAAGGCGAUAAGAGAUAAACCUUCUUCCUAGCACAUUCAAAGACUCCAGAAUCCAAAACUUAACUUCUCUGCUGUCCAUCCAUCCAAUUUUCAUUAAGAGCAAUUUGUAUCAUCUAGGAAGCUUCAAAGUCAAAUACUACCUUUAUUUUUACCUUAUCAAACCCAUAAAAUCACGGCCAGGGUGUGGUCUGGACAUGGGCCUUGGUUAACAUCACAAAAAUUCUCAAAUCAAAUAAUUGGGUUAAGUUAGAGCAAAGUUCAUCAACAAUAAGAUGACAGAAUUCAGGCAAAGUCGGCUUCCUUCUUGCAUUUCAGGAAGGCUAGCAUUGUUCCUAAUACUAGUACAUAGGUGUAAGUAACCUCUGAGUGGGUAAUGCCACCAAACAAAAGCAACACCUUCAAAGUCUCUCUCAGUGACUAGAGGCAGCCAGACACUCAAACUGCCAGUCCUGAAUUACGGCCUCUGAAUGGUGAGGGCUUCACAUUUCACUGAUCAGGGCACAGCCCAAUCAGAAGACAAACCCCUGCACUGCCAGGGACCAGCAAAUCCGCUUUCUUCCAGUGUGCACAUGACUGAAUGUGCUUCUGUCCAUCAUCUGGGUCAUAUAUAGUUCAAUGCGAGCUGAGCAGACAGGGCUGCAAGGAAAUCUGGCGCGGUUCAAUACCUCAUCUAGUCUGGGUUCCAGUAUCUAAUUUUUUUUUUACUGACAAACUCAUUUCUCUACCGGGACAGGAUGCUGUGCUGGCUGGGAGUUCCAUUUCUACAGCAAGAAUCCUAUCUGGAAACAGAGAAGUUGUCCUCUAAGCCACAGCAGCUCGAACUUUUUUGAUUGUUGUUGCUGCUUUCUCCCAUCACCCCCACCCCCUUUUGACAAAGAUCCAACUGUAAAAAGUCUUACGUAACAGUUCAGGACUCCUUCGGUUCUUUUACUGGUAUAUCAAGAGGCCUCAAGAGGACUAUGAAAACAUUUACAUCUCCAACUCAGAGCAAUGUGGGUUUCACAAUAUUUCAUAGUACCUCUGGAAAAGGAAAGAAAGGAGUACAGUGGGUCCUCCGUAUCCAAGAUGUGGAGGACCAACGAUACUGCACCAUUUUAUAUAAGGGACUUGAGCAUCCUCGGAUUCUGGUGUCCAAGGAGGAUCCUGGAAUCAAUUCCUGUGGAUACCGAGGGACGACUGUAAAUAGCUGAGGCAAAACACUAGAGUAAAAAAGAAAUAAUGGUUUGGGAUAGUAUGGAGUUAGAAAACCUGAAUUUAAUUCCAAUUUCUGCCAUGGUUAUGUGUUCUUGAACAAGUGAGUCACCUCUUAAGCCUUAAUUCUCCGUGAAAGAGAGACUAAGUAUACCUCUCCUAUCUUCACAGGAUUGUUGUGAGGCCUCAGAGACAGCACAGUGAAAAAAUGUGCUGCAAACAGCACACAGCAGUACAGCCCAAUGCAUCCUGGCCUUUGACGGUACUAUCCCAUGGCUUAUCCCCACUUUUAGUAGAUAAGAUUCGCUCACUCCCCAAACUCUCACCUACUUGUCAACCAGAAGCACGUAUUUGCAAGAUGUCUAGCUGAGGUUAUUAAACUAUAACCUGGGGCUGAAUGCAGGCGUUUUUCUGUAUAUAUGUGUCACCAGCAUAGGCAGUCCAUCAGAGCCACAAUCUAUUUGUUUAGGUCUUUGUAAAAUUCUCUCAGAAAUAUUUUAGUUUUUAGUGUACAAAUCUUACACUUCUUCUGUUAAAUUUAUUCCUAAGUAUUUUAUUCUUUUGAGGCAAUUGUGAAUGGAAUUGUUUUCUCACUUUCAUUUUUGGACCGUUGCUAGCUAUAAAAAUACAACUGAUUUUUGUAUAUUGAUCUGGUAUCCUGUGACCUUGCUAAACUCAAUUAGUUAUACUUGUUUUGUGGUUUUUUUGUGAAUUAUUUAGGAUUAUAUAUAGGAUUAUGUCAUCUAUGAAUAAAAACAGUUUUAAGACAUCCAAUUUAGAUGCCUUCCUCCCUAACCCCCACAUCACUGUACUAGCUAGAACCUCCAGUGAAGGUUGAAAAGAAGUAGUAAGAGCACAUUCUUACCUGCCUUAUUCCCAAUCUUAGGGGAAAGGUACUUUUAUUUACCCAGUUAAGUAUUAUGUUAGCUAAAUUUAGGCUCUUCAUAGAUGUCCUUGGUCAAACUGCAGAAGUUGCCUUCUAUUCCUAGUUUGUUGGGAGAUUUUGAUCAUGAGUGGGUAUUGAAUUUUGUCAAAUGUUUUUCCUGUGUCUACUCAGAUGAUCAUGUGGGGCUUUUUAACCUUUAUUAGACUUAUUUUAUGGCCCAGAAUACUCUUAGAGACUGUUCCAUGUGUACUUGAAAAGAAUGUACAUUCUGCAUGGAGUAUUCAAUAAACGUGAGCUAUGGUAAGUUGGUUGAUUACUUCUCAAUUUGUUAUAAGCCUAUGGUUGUUGUUGAUAGUUUUAUUCAGCUUUACAGUUGCUUUUGGGGGACAGGCUGUGUUGACCUUCUCACUCACUCAUGCCAGAAAUGAAUCUCCUCCUCAGGUAUGUUUUUACAAAUAUCAUAAGUGAUAAAAUCCUAAUCUUGGUGAAGCCAAACAGCUAGUCUGAAUUCCAGUCUAUUUUCCUGAAGUUA